AAAUUCGCUGAAAUUCUGUAGUUUUAGGGCUUGUAGCCAAUAUAAGAUAAGUCCGUUCCAGACCCAGAUGUACAGACUACACUGAUACUUAUGUUAAGAACUAAACUGAUACCAUGAUUGGGUUGGGGAUAAUUUGGAGUAUGGUACCGUAUGACUGCACUCUUUCUGCUUGGAGAAAAUUAUCAGUCAAUCCAUCAACCAUCAUAGCUGAUAGUUUGGAGACUACACUGAUACUCACGGGCUUGGGCGACAGGCUCCAACACAGCCACUACGAGUUCAGUUUUGGGGCGAAGAGAGGGACAUGUUCGAAGAGAAUCGAUGGCUGUUUACUUUGUUGGUGCUUUGCUCGUCGUAGAGAAUCAUCAUCAUAACUGCAUGCAUGCUUUGGCGAAAGAAAGGGACCCAUCCAGUGUGCAGAGAACACGCAAGGAAUUGUGCCUUCUUUAGUUGAGAGAAGGAAGGACUGAUUCCCAUGCCAAACCGACCGACAAGGCGUGCCUGCUGCUCAACUGAGAGGGCAAACCAUAUCCUGCGUAUCUCUGUUGCAUAUCUCGCCGUUCUACGAGCAGUAGCAGAAGCUGAUCACAACAGGCAAAUAGCCGAAAUCAAUUUUGUUAUUAUCAAGCUGCUCCUGUCUGCUGCAAGGCGGUGGUGACACUACUUCAUCCGAUGGGUUAGACUGACUCAUCAGCCACUGCUUCUCUUUCUUGGUCUUGAUAGUGAAUUUCAUCAUGACUUCUCCUGCUGCAAGGGGUUACCUUAACAGAAAUGUUGAUGGUAGCAGAGAGAACAUAUUCCAAAUUCUUCGGACGAUGGGAGAUAAAAGGGUCAUCUAUUUACAUGGUUGGGAUGGACUGGGGGCGUCUGCUGUCCUUAGAUCCAUAGCAGAAGUGCUCCCAUAUAGGAGAACCACUCCAGAACUAUGCUUUGAUAAGAUAAUUCACAUAGAUUGUUCAGACUGGAAAAAUAGAAGAGGAUUACAGAGGGCAAUCGCAGAGGAACUAGAGCUUGAAAGCUCAAUAAUGGCUGUUCUGGAUAAACAGGAUGAAGAGGAUGAUUUUCAGGGAGUUGAUGAAAGCUCUAGGAAUGAGAUAGGAAGUGUAUCAAGAGCAAUCGAUCAUAUUCUGAAAUACAACAGAUUUGUGUUCAUUUUUCAUAAUGGUGGUGACAAUGAGAUUGUUGACCUAUUCAACUGUGGUGUUCCUUUGGUUACAAGUUUUGGUGACAAUGUGAUUAUAUGGACCUACAAAAGGAGGGUGUUGACCAUUAAAAAAUACGACCAACAUGAACUACUACACAAACUGAGGUACACUCAUCUUUUGGCAUAUGAUAGGAUGGAGCGUCUACUAAGUGGACAGUUGUAUGCACUGCUGCGUAAAGAGGCUGAAAUCAUAGUUCCUGGCAAUCCAUGCACCGAGAGAUUCAGUCCAAUGGUGGUUGUCGAUUGUUGUCUAUACAAACUCUUUCUGCAAUGUGGUUUUUGCAAGACCAAUUCUGGUUGGGAUGGUCUUGCUUCGAGUUAUUGGAUAUGUGAUGGGAUACUGCCAAAAGACAUAACAACGGAGAUAGGUGAUGCAUUGCACCGAGAAAUAAGAUGGGAGUGUGAUGAUAAUGUGCUUAUAGAGUUCAAGAAACAUUUCAAGCUUCCUUUUCUCAUAGUUAAAGAAGAUGAUGUGUAUAAAGAAGGACCAUACCGUUGGAUUUCAAUCACAUCGAGGGAUAGUGAAAUACUGGGUAUCAAAAGUUUACCAGAAGAGACAUCAUCAUUCUUCUUGGAGUUUCAAAUAUCUGAUCAGCCAGCAGCAUUACCAAAUGGUUUGUUUCAACAUUCCAGCAACCUUGCUGUACUGACUCUCUGUUGGUGUGCCUUCAGUUUUGCAUCACCUCCUUUCCUAAACUGCCAUAACCUAAGAUUCCUUGGACUGUGCCACUGUACAGAUGACAAAACAGGGGAAGGAGAGGAUCAUACUGAGUGGGUUUGUCUUCAUAGUUUGUGGGUGUUGGACCUACAUUACACUGAAUGGAAUGAAAUCUUAUGGCCGGAAAAGAUGGAUCUCAUGGAUAACCUCAUGACGCUAAGCAUAGAGGGUGUCUGGUGUUGGCAAUACACAACUCACUUACAAGGUCGGCUACCAAACCUUAAAAGGCUUCGGGUAAUCAAGCCUAGUCGUGGACCGGAUAUUUCAACAGAACCAAGCAGGUCCUUCAUGGACAAGGUAAAGCUGGAAAUACUUGACCUGUCUGGCAACAGUGAAAUGAAAAUUCUACCAAACAGCCUAUCUAAAGCAAGUAGCCUUCAAGUGCUUAUUCUGGAUGGUUGCAAUGAGCUUAAAAAUGUUGCUAUCCCUGAUGGGCUACCUCGCUUGCUGAAGUGCUUCAGCCUUGAUGGAUAUGGGCCAGCUUUCAUUCGUGCGCCUACUGUCGAGCUACCUCUAAAACAAGAACGUCCUUCGAUCCCAGCAACUAAGGAAGGUGCCAGUAUCUCUAAGAUUUCCCUCGAAAGUUGCUCACAAUUGGAGAAUAUGUUCAUACGUGGGUUGCCCAACCUCGUUGAGCUUGACCUCUCUGGAACCGCAAUCAAGACACUUGAUUUCAAUACUAUGGUAUUAGAAGUCCCAAUGCUGAAGCAACUAUUUCUGCUAGGAUGUGAGCACCUUCGGGCAAUAAUUUGGAGCUCUAAAGAUAGCUUCCAUUUGAAUUUGUUGUGCAUAGACACACGAGCUGGAACUGGCCAUCCACGGCCAUGCACUGACCCCAAAAAAUCCUUUCGUUUGGAGGUGCAUGCCACUGUUGUGGAUGCCAGGCUUCUUUGGUCGUUGUGGCAUCCAUUAUAUAGUCAUUAUGCAAUUAUUAAGGAUGUUUAUUUUAAUAUCCAUGCCACCUCAGCUGUGUAUAAUGGAACGAUUGAAUCCGAAGUGGCAUACAAGGAGAAGAAGAUUGACAUGUAUGGAGAUAAAGUCAGCCUAUCGCAGCUUGUUCAAGCAGACCGGUAUAGUGAUGUCCAAAGCAUGGCCGGUGAUGCUCCGAUGCUGGCCUUCCCUAAGCCUCUGACUAACAACUUGGAUCGGCAUAUUGAGAUUGCUGAAGGGAGCCACUCCUUUGAGAGUGGACUAUAUGAUAUGAUGAAUUUUUUUGCCGAAUCCCUGCAUGUCCACGAUGUCUCAACUAGUGCUGGUUUGCCUGGGGUACACUGGGAGUUCCUCAGGCAGUGCCGCAUGGAGAGAUGCCCCAAGUUGGGUGAAGUCUUCUAGAGGGGAUCAGAUCUAUUUAAGGAUCUGGAGACCUUCUGGGUGUCAGAUCUCCUAACAACCCGCUGGAUAUGCAGUAAAGGUUACCGCAGAUUCAAUGAUGGUUCGUUCAGAAAACUGCAACACUUACAGUUGCGCUCUUGCCCCAGGCUCCAAUUCGUGCUCCCUGUGUGGGUCGACUCCUUCCCAAGUUUGGAGACCCUCCACAUCAUCCACUGCGGAGACCUUAGGCACAUAUUCGUGCUAGACGAGAAAUGGUACCCAAGGCUGGCCACCAUCCAAGUUGUAGCAUUCCCAAGGCUGACCACCAUCCACCUGCAUGACCUGCCAGUGCUGCAGCAGAUAUCUGAGUUCAAGAUGGUGGCACCGGAGCUCAAGACCAUCAAGAUCAGAGGAUGCUGGGGCAUGCGCCGGCUGCGGGUGGUGUGUGCCCGUAGCAGAGGCAUGAAGAAGCCAUCCGUUGAGAUCGAGAAAGACGUCUGGGAUGCGCUGGAGUGGGACGGGGAGGUGGCCCCUGGCCACUUCGAGACGCCGCUGCACUCACGCUACUACAAGAAGAAACUACCCAGGGUCUCCGUCCUCAGGUGAUCCUUGCGCUGUGCUGCACUGAUGUGGUUCUUCCAUCCUUAAUGGGAGACCAGAUGGAUGCUCGCUCCUGCAGGUCCUGCUGUCUGCUGCAUGUGGGGUUGGUUUAUUGUGUGCUUCCGGCCCGGGUUGCUUGAAAGAGAUUUGCAGGUGGUGUCAGUCGUCGAUUGAUUGACUCCUACUGCUACUGUGUGUUUUUGUGUCACGUGUGAGCUUGUGGUGGCUCCCAUCUUUGUGGCUUUCAAAUAAGAUGCAGCAUGGUUCUUGGCUGCGGCACCGUCGUGUGUGCGGGAGUAUGGCUUGCGAUUGAGGAUGCCUGCUUGCUGCCUCUUGGCUGCAUGAGUAUGAACCUGGAGUGAUUGACUAAGCAGCAGCCCUGUGUGCCUGCGUGCAUCUACGGGGCUGCCUGGUGUGGUUUGCGAGUGUGUUAAACUGUUAAUCUGAACACACAGGCAGCUGGUUUAGUGCAUUGGCUUGCAUUGGACCACCUAUUAUCCGUGUGCCUGUUAUAUGCGUGUGGAAUAAACAGAUUGUAAUACUAGGAGAACAGAUUUUCAGUUUGUGCUUCUAUUAUGCUUGGUAUCGAUGAA
RNA transcript from Triticum aestivum (bread wheat), 4423 nucleotides. RefSeq lists it as uncharacterized. The record is from RefSeq and is a predicted model, not a curated record. Lineage: Eukaryota; Viridiplantae; Streptophyta; Magnoliopsida; Poales; Poaceae. The transcript is spliced from 4 exons.